This 1018-nucleotide ribosomal RNA is filed under the name Natara antarctica. RNAcentral's name for it is "SSU rRNA". It matches the Rfam family "Eukaryotic small subunit ribosomal RNA", at positions 76 to 1102 of the family's 1831-position model. The record is from RNAcentral. Lineage: Eukaryota; Fungi; Ascomycota; Leotiomycetes; Helotiales.
AUACGGUGAAACUGCGAAUGGCUCAUUAAAUCAGUUAUCGUUUAUUUGAUAGUACCUUACUACUUGGAUAACCGUGGUAAUUCUAGAGCUAAUACAUGCUAAAAACCCCGACUUCGGAAGGGGUGUAUUUAUUAGAUAAAAAACCAAUGCCCUUCGGGGCUCCUUGGUGAUUCAUAAUAACUUAACGAAUCGCAUAGCCUUGUGCUGGCGAUGGUUCAUUCAAAUUUCUGCCCUAUCAACUUUCGAUUGUAUGGUAUUGGCUUACAAUGGUUUCAACGGGUAACGGGGAAUUAGGGUUCUAUUCCGGAGAGGGAGCCUGAGAAACGGCUACCACAUCCAAGGAAGGCAGCAGGCGCGCAAAUUACCCAAUCCCGACACGGGGAGGUAGUGACAAUAAAUACUGAUACAGGGCUCUUUUGGGUCUUGUAAUUGGAAUGAGUACAAUUUAAAUCCCUUAACGAGGAACAAUUGGAGGGCAAGUCUGGUGCCAGCAGCCGCGGUAAUUCCAGCUCCAAUAGCGUAUAUUAAAGUUGUUGCAGUUAAAAAGCUCGUAGUUGAACCUUGGGUUUGGUUGGUCGGUCCGCCUCACCGCGUGCACUGAUCCGACCGAAUCUUUCCUUCUGGGGAACCGUAUGCUCUUCACUGGGUGUACUGGGGAACCAGGACUUUUACUUUGAAAAAAUUAGAGUGUUCAAAGCAGGCCUAUGCUCGAAUACAUUAGCAUGGAAUAAUAGAAUAGGACGUGUGGUUCUAUUUUGUUGGUUUCUAGGACCGCCGUAAUGAUUAAUAGGGAUAGUCGGGGGCAUCAGUAUUCAAUUGUCAGAGGUGAAAUUCUUGGAUUUAUUGAAGACUAACUACUGCGAAAGCAUUUGCCAAGGAUGUUUUCAUUAAUCAGUGAACGAAAGUUAGGGGAUCGAAGACGAUCAGAUACCGUCGUAGUCUUAACCAUAAACUAUGCCGACUAGGGAUCGGGCGGUGUUAUCUUUUUGACCCGCUCGGCACCUUACGAGAAAUCAAA